This 13747-nucleotide long non-coding RNA is filed under the name Gallus gallus (chicken). Its description in RNAcentral is "lncRNA (ENSGALG00010026621.1)". Lineage: Eukaryota; Metazoa; Chordata; Aves; Galliformes; Phasianidae. The record is from RNAcentral.
UGGGUAGUAGGCUAACCUGGUUCAUUUGCUGAGGUCCUGAAGCUUGAUGAUGCAUACAUAGCAAAUGAAACUUGUUUUCUCUCAUGCCAGGCAAAAAUCAUUGGCAGGAAAAUCACUCUUGGUGGUUGUUUGUUUGUUUUUUUUUUUUUUUUUUUCCUACUGGAAGAUCUGAAGUGUUGACUGUCAUCUCAUGGCUCCUAUAUCAGACAGUGAGAUGAGACACAUAGCUCCAUAACCCCGGUGGCUCUGUCUGCUAAAAUUGAAGUGGCCUUGUUUCCCCGGAGCACUAUAUCUACAUUUGUUACCCGUAUCCUUAUAAAAACCCUUAUUAAUCACUUGCUAAUGCUGCUUGGUUUAAAAAAUGAUAAAAAAGGAAUGGAGGUGAUUCUUCUGUAUUCUCUGCUAAACCAUCAUUAAGAUGUGCUUUCACAUUCUCAAAGAAUUUCAAAUUUGAGUUCUGCUCUGGAGUGAGACGUACAGGACGUGUGUGUGUUGAUCAGCCAACAUUCAAAUCAGGAAGGGUUCUAAUGAGGAGUUUUGGGAUGCUGAUAUAUCUACAGAAUUGUGUUCUUUAAUUUUUCUGUCAUUUCCUCAUUAUGAAGCAGCUUGAGAAGCUGAACGGCAAACUGAGUGUGCAGCUUUUUUUUAAUGCUGGCACUGAGUACAUCUAGUUUAAUGUACUUCAAAGACAUAAUUCUCUGAACUUGGGAUGUGGAAGCUGACAUCAAGUGUGUUAUUUACCCAAUUCAUGCAAUAUGUCCAAGCACGUAAGAGAACUUUUAAUCUGUGUACAUAAAUAUAGAGAUACACGCACGUCUAUGAGUGAAGUAUAUUUUCUUAUGCAGCCAGGUGCCAUGUACAUGGUGCAUAUCCUAAAUGCACCGAGCUCUGGAAUCCUAGAAGGAAGAGGCACGUGUGCAUAUGAUUCAGCCCAUACUGAAGUGCUUCAGUAAUACAGAAUGUUCUUUAGCUUCUGUCUCUGCAAAUGUUGAUGCUUCUGUUGGUGUCUGGGCAGCAUGACUGUGAUUGGGUUUGGGGAGGAGGAGGAACUGAUGACUCCGGGUUUUUGAGGCCAACUUCAACUUUUGUUGAAGAGGGUCCUGCUGUGCUUCUUGUAGGCAUGAAAUACUUGAGCCUUUUUGUCGAUAAGUCUCAGAAACUUAGGUAGGAAAUGGGAUUUCCAGUAUUGGUGAUCAUCGCUGUUGACUUUACCUGUGAACUUGUACUGGUGCUCUUAGUCUAUUGACAGUUAUGCUUCUGUUGUUGAUGCACUGGUGAGGUGACUGAUUUAGCUCUUUCAACAACUGCCACCAGCACUACUCUCAAGAAUACACAAACAGGUUUACUGUGUGGCUUUGAAUUUGGUAUUGUACAGAUGUGAACUGUUCUAGCCCUCUGUAUGGGAAAGGUGGGGGUCUCUGUGGUGUAACAAACAUCCAGAUGGCAUAAGGAAUGGUCUAAUGCAAUCCAAAGGAAGUUAACUCACCUGAGUUUGUGCCUGCUGAUCUCUAGGAGUGUUCUUACUCUGUUUCAGUGGCUGCCAUUUGUUCAUGCAGAUGACACGCUGGGCCUCUUUGCCAUCAUGGUAUGAAUCUGUGCAAGGACUGCUCGCUGCCUUCUUGCCAUUUGUAGCGGCUGUAGAUGAAACUGAUAAAACAUUGCAGUAAAUAGCAGAGUACUAAACAUUGAACCAAGCUUGUUCCUGCAAGAAAUGAAGGAGAGGCAGCACUCGCUAUGUCAGUACUGUCCAAUACUGCUCACGAUAAAAGUCUUGGAUCCCUUCUGUAUAAGAAAGAGCUUUAUCCUUAAUUGCCUGCAGGACAUAGGAGAGCAGUACUAGAGGUAGGUAAGAUUUUUCUACACUCUAAAGAAGGUAAUUACACUUGGGGGGACAGAUAAGUUGAUUCCAGCUUUUAAAUUACUCUUCUACUCCAAGUAACUCUGGCUUUUAUUGGCAUUAAGAAGUCCGGGCAGUGUUGUCUUUGGCAUGCUCUUCUACUUGCAAGAUGUGGCAGAAGUUGGGCUCAGGACAGUGCACAAAGGUACUGCCGUGGAUUGGUAGAAUUACAAAAAUGAUGCGCUCGUGGCAUUUAUGAAGAAAAUGUUCCUUUUUCCUAGAAGUUAACUGUCUUCACCCCAUUUGGCUUCCAAGUAGCCAGAAGUUCAGUGCAGCAAAUCCUUUUUCUCCUUUUUCUAUUUUUUUUUUCCUAUGUGAUUUGAUGAUGGAAGUGUUGUCUGUGCUGAACUGGGAGGGACCCCCAAGAAAGGCCGAGUCCAACUCCUGGCUGCACAACUGUAGACAUAAAAUUAUAUUGGCUAAGAGUGGAUGCUGGGGAAAAUUAGCAAAGGAAUCUGUUUUACUGUGAAAUACAGCUUGUGAUCUAAAUUGAUUAGAUGGAUGCUCUGUUGCAGCUGAUCUACAUCCUGUAGGAGGGGAUAGCAGACUAUAUGCAGGAGGAGGAGAAUCCACUUUUAUUAAUGCAGUUGAAAUCAAAUACUUCAGAAUGAGUGACUGGGCACUCCCUGAAGUCGUGUUCUCCACCCUGCGCUUCUUUACUUUCAAAGAAGAAAAUAAACUUUUCUAUCAUUUACUGUAAUAAAAUAAUCUUUGAUAAAAUAAUCUGGGCAGGAACACCAAUGCAGACAGCAGACAAGUGAUUUAAAACAGAUGUGAAAUUCCCUCUGUGUAGAAAAUUAGAGGCACUGGUGAUGACAUUAGACACGUAUGACUAAUCAGAGUUAAUGCUUGCUGUUGCCAAUUAGCCCUAUUAGCACAAGCAAUUUGAGCACAGGAUGACAUUACUUUAAUUACUGCAAGCAGCUUGUUCAUUUAUUGAGCAGUGUGCAUUCAGAAAAGGCUUACUCUGUCUGCAGAUUAAUCAUAACCUUCUUCAUCAUUAGAAAUUCAGGAAAACUGAGGGAAGAAAGACUUCACCCCCAGAAAGAGGGAAAAUGGGGUGAUGGAAGACUGACGGUAAUUUGGGUAUUCUACUGCUAUCCUUUUUUUGAUAAAAAGACAAAAGCUAUUGUAUGAUUUCUGUCUGAAAUCUGUAUAUGAGUGGGACAAAAUUGCUGCCAUUAGAGUUAAGGCAGACAUUAUGACCAUUAGGUGGUAGCAAUGCAAAAAAAAAAGAAAGAAAGAAAGAAAAACCGUGUGAAGAUGUACAGCAAAACUAAGGCAGGACAGAGCUAGAGGAGGGAGAAAGCUGAGUAAGAAACCCAGAGCUUAUUUCCUGCUCCUUUAGCACACUCCAUUUUGCUACUCAUGCACAUGUGCUCUGGUUCUUUGGCACAGGGGGAAGAGUUUUUUCUCUUUUUUGGAGCAGUGGUUUUGCGUGGCUCCGUGCCACAGAGUGCUCUCAGGAUGAGUGUAUUUCUGGUCUCUUUACUGUGCUGAAGGUGGUGCUGCAGAGAUCUCCACAGCUCCAUUCCUGUGUUAAAGGGCAGAGGUAUGUACACAGUGGGGAUCCAAGUGAAAUAAACAGCAGGAUUGCAGAAGAUGGCAGCAGCUGACAGCCUCUGAACUUCCCCCCCCCCCCCCCUUUUUUUUUUUUUUUCUGGUGGGGGUGUUUGGUUUUUUUUGCUUUUAAAAUGAGGUCACUGCCUGAAGGUGUCUCUUCUCUGAGCACACAGUAUGCAGUGGUGCCUGAAAAGUUACCAUGCUUGGCAAAGGCUGGGAUUACAGCAGCACUAUUAAAAUAGCUGUGAGACGAGGAUGGGGCUGUAGGGACAAAGGCUGCUGCAUCUUCUGGGCUGCAGAGAGUAACUUCAGUUCUUCUUGCCAAUACUAGGGGGUAGAAAAUUUUCCAUUGUUAUUUUCAUUUUUUUUAGCCGUGGCACUACUAUUGCAAUUCUGGUCGUGUUGUGAAAUCCCUACCUCUCUGCGGGGGCACAAAAAGCAUUGUAAGAGUCCUUUGUCCGUUUUAUUCGAGGAACAAACCCCUAAGGAGAAUGAGACAGUGCUUCAGCUUACAGUGUAGGAGAGGAUGCUGGGCUGCUGCAGGAAAGAGAAACGUCUACACGUGGGCCCCUAAAAGACUGAAGGUGCCCUAAUCCAUAAAGUGGUAUCUCCCUCAACUCAUUCUCCCCCUAUCCCAUUGUUAGAAGUCAUUUAUGUAGGAACGCAUGAAGAUGCAGUCCCGUGAGUGUGUGAGGAAUCCAGUAAACCCAUGAUCUCUAAUUUGCAUCACUCUAAUCACCGAAUUCAUAUUUUGAUAAGAGGGAGAGGAGGCAAGAAAGGAAGGAGCAGUGAAACUGCCGUAGUUAAAAUUGUUUCUAAAUCUACAUUUCUGUAGGGGUGAAACAGAACUUACCAAUUCUCCUUAUUUUGGCUGGGAUACAGUUAAUUUUGUCCUAGUACUGAUACAGUGCUGUGUCUUGGAUUGAGGAUCAGACUGAUGUUUAUAACACACCCAUGUUUUGGUUGUUGCAGAGCAGUGCUUGCAGUGAACCAAGGCACAGGCUCAAACUCUGCUAAGGCUUCUCAUGCUAUCCCGUAACUCUUUGAUGUGCACUGGCAAACCUCUAGUUUUUAUCAGGUUGCAUUUGCACAGGCUUUAGGGCUCUCUUAAGAGGGCAUUCACAGUGUAAUCUCCAUGCUUUGGCUGAUAGGAAGAAAUAACAUAAAAAUAUAUUGAAUUGUUUUCUGUGCUUGUUUAGCGACCUGCAGUAUUUGGCUGAUGGAGCGGUCAGCAGCACAUUAGGCUGUACUUACCUUAUGCAGAUUGUUUCUGUGACAGUGCCCUUUCCCAGUGCAGAGCUGCCCACCUCACUCACAUUAGUCACAAAUGCCUUUUGCUCCAUCACACCCAGCUGCAUUGCUCCUGAAACAAAUAAGGAACAUUCAAUGUAAUUAUAUUUCCAUAAAACUGAUACUUGUAUUUCCUUAGCUUUGACCUUUCGACUUUCCGGAGGCUUCCACCACCUUCUAUAUUGUUAAAGCUAUUUUCUCUGGCUCCAUUCUUAAAGUAAAAAUCUAAAUAAGCUUGUGUGCUUUAAAGCAGUCUGCACUGCCCUAUCUUAAGUCAGUUCUUGUGCACAGCACCAGGUUUGCUUUCCAAAUGCAAGCACAGAGUAGACAAAAAUGUAAAGAGGAGAGCUCAAAUACAAAGUAAGUGUGUAAAGAUACCAUUUUGAGCAAUUCUGAGUCAGCUGUUGAGUUUUCUAAUACCAUUCUCAUGUCACUUUGUUGUCAAUCUGUUGGCAAAUACCACUGGCACAGCAGCACAACCCAGGCCCUGAUAAUGGACACGUUCAGCUUUCUUUGGUUCCUUAACAUGUGAAAAACUGUUGCUGCUUGCACUGGACAGCUGUCUUAGCCUGUGUUGGACAAGGAGAGGCCAAUGGGCAGUUAGUAUCAAGUGCAAGUAGAGUUUUGACAUUUCACUGUUCUGUAAGAUUGUAUUAGUCUAAACAGCAGUCUUCUGUCUCCUUCUGUCUCUUAAAGUUUUUUUUUUUAGCUGUCCUGAUUUAAUUUCAGAAACUGACUGUAGUUUCCUCUUAGAAGACAGCAAAAGUUCAUCAUUAGUAGAACAUUUGCAUGCCAGCCUGCAACCUCAACUUGGUUUAUUUCUGGGCUUCUCAAGACACGGUCACUCUGCUGAAGGCGAUCCCACCCCUCCAUUAGCUUUUAAAACCCGGUGAUCAGUUACCGGAAUCCCCCACGGAUCAAUGAUGGGGCUGUCCUAGCAUUUGCAUAACUGAUGUGGAAGAGCACACAUGGAAGGGUGAGCAGGUUUGUCCUCCAACCUGAAAUAGAAGAGUGAAAUGGUUAGUCAUCAGCACAGUGUUAAAAAAAGAUUUUGCAACGCUGAAUAAAAACAGUCGAUAAAACGGCAGGUGAAGCUCUAUGUCAGUAAUAUCCCAGCAGUGUGCUUGGGGUUUUAGCACUCAUAACGUACAGAGCGAAACUUGCAGCUGCCACACUGAGCAAAAAGCCUCAGAAUUAUGUUUUAUUUUUGGCAAAUAGCAACGUUACGCUAGGUAGUAGUCUAAACAACUGGAGGGAUUUCAGAGUUUACUAGAAACAAGAUAAGGACCUUACCUCUAUGAAUCCAUUUGUACUCAAAUACCGCUUCCCUGCAAGCACGGAAAGAAUAACAGUAAAGGGUAUUGAGAGCAACAGCAAAGAUGAGCAAAGGUAAGAAACAUACACAUAUACACGUGCAAAACAUCUUCUGUCUUCUGCACUGAACAAAGGGACCGAGAACAUGAUGAAGACAGAGAAAAUCACAAAGAGAAAAUGAUGGAUUUCCUGCACAAGAAAUUAACUGUCAAGCCAUGAAUCUGUAAACUAUAUAAAGCUCAGGUUUAAAAGUGGUUAGAGAAGUUAAUGACAGCUAAUAAGAACAUCAGGUCUGCUCACUACAUAGAAAUCCUCCUCAGCUCAGGAGGCCCACGUGCCAGUUACCAAUGGGGGUAAUCAGGAGCAGGAUCCUUCCUCCUUCCUCCUGCCAUCUAUUACUGUCUCUCUGAGUCAGAUGAACUGCGGGUGCCUGCUUGGAAAAGUAAGCUGCGAACCACAUCUGUAUUAAAAGGAGGGCUCAAAACGUAGAACAUUUCUCACUUGUGUAAACAGCACUGUGUAUUAAUCACAGAAAUACUGGCAUAAUUGGACACUUUAAAGUACAAAUGGAACUUCUCUGUCAGCUGGUUUCAGAUUAGAUAUUAAUAACAUUCCAACAGUGCCUCCAGCUAGAGGGAAUGAGGCCCACAGCACUACUUGAUUAUUACUGUAUUUUCAUAUACUAUGCCUACAAGGAUAAAAAUUGGUUUGGAAGUGGAAGCUGAUUUUAGAGCCCUUUAACUCCUCACUGAGAUACAGCCCUCUUAUGGCUGUUGGAUGCUUUUGCCAACUACAGAUGAAGAAAUAUUGUAUUCUGAAAGUUAGAGCUUGCUGGCAUCUGACACUCCUUCCUUACAUUUGAGCUUUGUAGCUCCUUAGGCUCAGUAUUACCAUCACAACAGUAAGUUAAGCGUGCCAAAAUACAGACAGAUUGGCAUUAAGGCUGUUUUAAAAACACUGUUAUCCUUAAGAAAGCUUUUCUAUGCUUUGUGUCCCCUUUUAGACUCUAAAUACUGGUCAGAGUUUGGAAUAAAUAAUACAAUCUACGUCGUUAUGAUACAGCCCAUCUUCAUAGCAAAGAGCACAUAAAGAACCGUUUUCUGCUUAUUUUUCUGUUGACAAGUUCUGCAUUAGAAAAGCACUUACACAAAGCCAAGCUUUGCACAACAAUAGUUUUCCUACUUCUCCCAAUGCACGUUCCCUGCAAAUAGCUACGUUUUAAUUCCUUCCUGUUAAAAUUACUUCAUGAAUUUUGAUCCGUGAUGCAAUCUCCCUAGAAGCCUUAUAUCGUGAUGCUGAAUUGAAAUGAAAUGUUUCCAUACUACAUGAUAAAUACCCAAGCAUUGUUACGGAGAGCACCCCAAUGUUCUGAUAGAAUCCACACUUACCUACAUCCCAGGAUCAGCUAAGGUGAGGGUGGGUUACAAUGAACCUUACCGUGUGGGUUAUGAAGGUGAAUCCACAGAGCAGCUGAAAAAAUGUCCCGAAGCUUUACUUAAGCCUUCUGUGUCCUUUGCCAGAAGUGUGUUUCUGAGGAGCAGAAGGUAUUUCUGAGGGUGAAAGACAGGAGGGCAGGAGGUCAAAUUCCUUAACAGCCACAACACAUCAAAAAAAAUUGAUUUGGAAAAUCAAAAAAAGAUCAAAUUGUUGGCUUUUUUGGUAGCAUCUUUUGUAUAGCAUUCAUACAUACUGUGUAACCCUGUAAGAGUAACCAUAAAUAAAAAGCAUUUCUAGGAAACAUCAUACCAGUUAUUAAAACAUCCCCAAUUCUUUUAAGGCGUAACUACAGAAUAAAAGGGAAAACUUCAGUGACAGCUAUGGCUGGGAAGAAAAUAUGCUCUCAAGAUCAGGUACAGUAGCAGAUGACAGAUCAACCAGAGGCAGAGUAGGUCAGCAUCUCACCUGCAGUCUAGAUAGCGAUGGAAUCCACAGAGAGGAAUGGAGAUAUCUGCUCGUGUCACCUUGAGGACAGUGAUACUCAUCUGUCCGAUUCUGACAAUGUCUCUCUUUUUGUGUUGCUGUUUUUUCACUUAAAAAAGGAGCACUAACAGCAUGCACAAUUUCUGAAGAAUCAUCCGAGCCCAAGGCACUAGGGCUGCAUCCUUAAGCCAGGUGAUGGAAGUAUGGUUAUGAACAAUUUCAUGAACUGCAGAGUUAAUAUUUACUGUUAUAAAUAGUUAUUAUUCUAUAACUAUUUCAGCAAAAUUCAAUAUGAGGGCUGGCUGAGGAACCAGACUGUGCAAUAGAACAGAGCCCAGAAAACAGAGCGAUAAGGAUACAUAGAUAUGCCUACAGACAAAUGUAAUCCACUUUGCUUACAGUGGGAUUAGUCUGCAGCUAAGAGGACUAUUUUACUAUUCAACAUUUUCAAAAUAGUCCAUGAAUUAGGACUUUGUUUUAAAAGUGCUGGCUUGAGAAAUGAUUAGCAUGCUUCUUAAUAGCCCAGAAUGACUCACAAGGCAUUGUGGUUGACACCAAUUGCAUUUUAAAGGUCUUCAUCUACAGAAGGCUAAUAAAAAAUAUUUUAGAUGCAUCUAAAUAUUGAAAUGGCUUUGAAAUCAUUAAAUUUUCCCUAAGUAUCACAUACAUUCUGCAAAUAAGAGUUAAUGCGGGAAUAAAAAGCAAAUAAAGUAAGCAAGCUAACCACAAAUAUACUUAAAAUGAGUAAAUUUCAUUUAUAUAAACUACGAAUGUCAUUUUCUAUCUGUAGACCACGCAGCGAUAAGUGGCAGAUAAAUGUGAUGUGCUUUAAAGAUACGGUAACAAUUUCUGAAACCAAGAUCAAGAUGUCUGUUAUGAGAAAAAUCAGAGAAAAGAAAAUGAUUUGCCUAUUUCUAACAUCUGAGCUUCAGAUCAGAAGAAAGCAGAGCUGCCACUUCAGAAGAUAAGCAUUUUAGAUUUCAACAACUACAGUAAUUGCUUGCAUUGUGCACGCAGGAGAUAUAGGAUCUGUGCAGUGAAGGAAACCAGAUAAUACGAGGCAGGUCACUCCUGCCUAUGGAGUUAAUGAUGGAUUUUCCAGCAUUUUAUCAUUAGCUGUCUUCUCGGUGCUUGAGUUACAACUGAAAAAGGGCCUGGGGAAAAUACAGCAUUUUUUACAGUCACAGUCUAAAAUCUGAAACCACAUCUGUGGUUUAUUCCAGAGAUGCAAUUCAAUGCAAUCUUAGGACAGCACAAAAUAAGUUUUGUUUUGUUUUUUUAAACUUUACAGUGAUGGUUUUUCUGUUAACAAGCAGAUUUUCUUCAUAUCGAGGCCUACAACUAACUAAAUGUAGUCAGCAGUAACAUUCUGCAGAAUUAUUUUGAAAAGGUAUUAUUGGCUGUUGCAGCCUCACUUACGUGGUAAAUGAAUAUAAGGAUGAAAAAUAGUCAUUCAUAGAAUCAAAUCAAAGGCAUAAAUGUCCUUUCACAGAUGGGACAGUUAUCACUCUGUUCAUCUAAUCGAGAUGACAGUAUGGAAUAUGGAACAAACCUGGGGUGACCCAGUUCAAAAAUAGGCAAGUAAAAACAGUUGAAAAGCACUUAUCUCAGUUCAUCUUGCAGCACAGUCAGGUUUCUGCGAUGCAUCCCGGUGUCUCCUGCUAAACGAUACAGCAGAAGCACUUGCAUUGCUUUCCCUGCAUUUUACAAUGAUUUCUUCCAGCUACUUAUGGCCAAAUUUAGCUCUAGAAGCACCAAGAGUUUCAGCAAGUACUUACCAGCAAGCUGUUUGCUGGUAGGGCUAAAAUAGAUGCUAUUUUAAUUUUGAUACGCAAGACUUGAAAGAUUAUGAGCUACAGCUUUUUCAGAUGCCACAUUUCAUAACCCACCAUCAUUCUCCACUUUGAGCAAAGUCUCAUUUCAUAUUUGACUUGAAUUUGAGUGAAAAUAACUACUGAUUUACAAAACUACUAGACUGUUCUACCUAUAGCAACCAACAGCCAUGAGUCCCACUCAGCAGGGCCCCAGGUAGAGACAGGCUAACAUAAUGGGCCAGAAUAUCAAUUACCAGCAGAAAUUCUUGAAUGGAAACUACAUUUAUGUGAACUAAGCAAAUGUUUUUGGCAAGGUUCUCCAGGAAACUGGUGCAGACUAUCAGCAACACCAGCUAAAUAUUAAGAAUACUGAAAUAUAUUGAUCUUGGUUUUGGAUAUUUUUGGAUUUUACUUUGAUGCAACGUUGAAGAGUUAUCCGUAUUGAACAGACAUCAUUAAAAAUUGCCUCAGAUCAUCUCUGUAUAAUUGAGAAUAGAACAGAGCCUUGUGCAACCCCUACACCGCAAGUCAGGCAAGGACUGAAAUAAGGGUACUUACAUAAGAACCAGUUGUUCAAGUUACAUUACAGUUUGCACCCUAAUGUCCACUAGCGGUAUUGAAGAGGUGGUGCUUACACAACUGCUGGGCUUACAUGCCGCUGCCUGCACAUUGGCAAAAUACAUCCUACUCCUCUUUUCCUCGUAUUUUGAGAAAGAAAAACUUUAAUGUUUUUCCUUAGUCUAGGGGGCAGCCUGCCAGCAAAAAGACAACUUUCUCUUCCCACCUUUCUAUGGAACCACUUUUGCUCAACCACAUAAUUCAAAAAACCAUCUACAGUCUUAAAAGUAAUUUACUGAGACCAUUACUGAGGUCCUACUAGGGACCAUUCUUCUCACAGAAUAGCAUCUUGUGACUGAGAAAUCCAUCAAAACGUAGUUUUUAAGUAUGAGGUUUCUUGUGUUAGGACUUUGAUGAUGAAACAUUCCCUGCGACCUUCAGCAGAGACUAAAUUUACCAACUUCUAAAGACUGGAGUAAACCAUUUUGAUUAGCAAACGACAGAUGAGAAAGCAAGGGUCUAUUUUUGUGCAGAUAUCCUUACCCUCUAGCAGAGGUAGUCCUUCUGACCGCCCACAGCAUUUCUUUCCUUUGUUGAAUCACAUGAGGGUGAUGCCAGAUGCUGCAGUUACUGAUAGAAAUUCUUUUCACAGAGAUGCAUUAAUGGUAUCCUGGACAUAUAAAGAAAAAUAAACUGGAAACAGAAUAAAAUUAUUCCUAUUUUUAUCAUGCUAGCAAAAUAUACCUUGAGAGAAGUGUUUAUCACCAAAACAUUUAGGAAAUUGUGCAUUAACACUUCAAGAGGAAAAUGCACAUUUACCUUUUCAAGACAGUAGAUACCUAAUGAAAAACAGGCAUAAGUAUUUUAAUAGUCCAUAAUUUUUCUUGUUUUUCCAGUAUAUGCAAGCUUAUUUGAUAAAUAUUAUUCAAUUACAAAAGAAAACUAGUAGGCUAGCUGUCUGCCAGGCAUAUUUCUGAUUUUUUCUGGUUUAUUUAAUUUGCUUUAUUUGAUUAUUUAGGGAAAAAGGAGCCUGUAAAUUUUCAGUAAUAAUUGAACUGCGGUGCUGUGAGAAAGAAAGAAGGGAAAGGGGAGAGGGGAAGAAGGUGUGGAGGGAGGAAAAGAAGAAAGGAAAAAAAUAAAAUGCAAAGACAUACCUGAUCUUCGAACUAAUCUGAAGGAAAAUAUGCGUUUGUUUUAGCUCAGCAUUUGUAAAUUGAAGUUAUUACAAUUCAGGUGAAGAAUUGAUGUACUUCCAUAUUCUAUGUCAAAAAAUAAAAGAAGUGUAAUCUUACUCUGCAGGCUAGCUUACCAAGUCAGGAAUUUGUGGCUGAUGUUCUGAAGAACAAACUUAUACUUCUGUGAAACAUGGAGUCUUUAAAAAAAAUGAUAUGUAAAUAUUAAGCAAGUUGUUGAAUUCUUUUUUGAGACUCCUAAGACAAGACCAUACCUGCUCAUACUGUCAGAUGGGAGAGAAAAGUGCUAGCUUAAAUAUUCAGAAACACUUUCUUGAGGAUCUACUGAUUCCUAAAUCAGGUACUUACCAACCUGAAAUUAUACAGUAUGAAAAUCACCUGUUACAAAAAUGAAUUAUGGUUUUGAAUACAGACAUCUCAAUCUGUGCAUCAUCUCUUCUUGAAACUAUAAAUAGCUUGAAGUAGUACUUCCAAAAGAGUUACAAAUCACUCUUACUUUACUUCCAUUGCCAGAUGAAUACAGUAUUGUAAACUAAGAUGGCUGUCAUUUCACUCUGAUUUGCUACCUACAAAAGAAGCAAUCCAAUAAGAGUGACUGGGAAAGCAGUAAAUUGGUAACUUUUCUCCUGUUACGUACCUAAGCACGAUAAAAAUCAAAAUAAGAAUGCUGACUCAAACUGAAAACAUGAAUCACAAAACCCUCUGAUGCCAUUCUUAAAGUGUUCAUCAAGAGAUGAAAGCUGAUAAAACGUGCCCAUAGAACAGUAUUUGUAAACGACCAGUCAGAUGGUUGUUCAACAAAGUAAUUAGUUUUUCUCUACUUGGCAAGUGGAAUAAGCAUUAUCAGAAAACAGACUCUCAAACAAGAGGGCUGAAGUCUGAGACCAGGCUCAAAAACCUACUGGAGAUCAAGCCCUCCACACCAUUCUAUCUCUGACUACUCGCAGGUACAGAAAUGUGUUUACUUCCUUGUUUUAAUAGCAGCAAAGGUUUCUGCUGCAUUUGAGAUUUUUGGACUGCACCUCCAGCAAGAUGGUUUUGCACCUGAGAGCUGCCUUAAAUAAAACUGCUUCCUUCCACCCAAGGACUCCAAACACAACAUACUGAAUGAAAAACAUUACAAAAUAUAACAAUGAUUAGCCAUUAAUUUUUUCUUCACUUAGUAAAAAUCUAUGAGAAUACAUUAACACCUUCAACUACAGAAAUAACACACGUCCCACUUCAUAUUACUGUACUUACUAUUGUACUACACACGUGUUUCACAAAGACAACUCUGGCUUUGGAAGUUCUGCUGUAAAAAUUCGGAUCCUGAUUGGGAAUAGGGAAAAAGACCUACGUCUGCCUACACAAAAACAGUGAUCAAAAAGAAAAAACAAUUAUUUCUUCAAGCUAACCCUUGAAAGUCAAAGCUACAGCACUUGGAAUACCUUUCCAUCUGUGAACACAUAAGAUGAUCCCUUUUCCCUUGAAAAUGCAGCAGGCAAAAUUACUUGCAGUUUUGGUGAAUUAUGCGUGUGAUGCACAACUACUCCCUCUCUCUCAUGCACAAAUGCGUCAGCUUGCUGCAGCCCCACCAUCUGAAGGGGUAAGAAGCAAAUUCAAUCUGUUUGGACUGCACUUGUUCAGUUCUUCCUCAUCCAUCCUGGAAAUGCUAACAGCCCAGAUAGAAAUUCCAGCUGGAACUCAGGGUAUUGCAAUCAACUGGACACAUAUUAUCGCCAAAAGCAACAGGAGGGGCAGACAGACUGUGGAAGGGUUCUGCCCUGGUGACGAUACACAACUCUGUAAUUCCUAUACUUAGCCCUGAUGAAUUUUUCCUUACAUCUGUGGGAAGAAUCACAGGUUGACCAUAGGAAACACCGUGGUCUGCAUGCUAAAGAAGAUGGCAUGCUGCCCUGACUUAGAGAAGACAUAAGCAAGAGCUUACUGUGAUCUUAUUCUCUGAAGGCAGUUUGUUACUGUUUUGAAUGUUCACCAUUCCUGUCAAAGCACUUUAGUCAUGCUUUAUGAAGAAAAAACAGGAUACACCAAUCUCAUUUUUUUGUACACCAAGCUGUAAAGUUUUUGAGAUUACAUUUCACUUGACAGAAGACAUUUUGAAAUACACACAAAAAUUCAAAAGGAGAAAUAAAGAUUGAGAGUGGUGCAAAGAUAUGUAUCUAUGAAUCAAGAGAUCGGGUUCAGUUGUAGCAAAGGAG